RNAcentral lists this ribosomal RNA (384 nucleotides) under uncultured prokaryote. Its description in RNAcentral is "partial 16S ribosomal RNA". The record is from RNAcentral.
CCCUACGGGGUGCAGCAGGCGGGGCUUUUUACGUUUGCGGGCGUCUACCGAAGCGAGGCGGGGGCUAAGACACCGGUUUUCGUGAUUUUAACCGCUCCCGCGGCAAAGGAAAUUUCGUUUAUUCACGACCGCAUGCCGCUGAUUCUGCCGGAGGAACGGCGCGAGGACUGGCUGGCGAGCGGAGAGUGCGCAGCGCGACUGCUCGAACAGGGCACGCAGGACGGCGUCUACGAACCCGCCGUAUAGCGCGGACAAAUCCUGACAAGAAAAGACAGGACGUGCGGUGCUCCGUCUGGUACCAUCAAUCCUGCAAGGGCAACAAGACGGCGCGAUGUGGAACAUGAGCAACGGCGGAGGAACGAACCUUGGAAUUGGCGGGGGGGC